UCAUCUUUAUGUAGUGUAAUCAUAGUUUGCUCUUCUCAUGUAAAAUAUGCGCCUCUGGUGGAUGUUUGCGAUUGGUCACGCUGUGCAAACACCGCCUCCGCCGUGCUGCUGGAU
This is a long non-coding RNA of Etheostoma spectabile (orangethroat darter), 114 nucleotides long. RefSeq lists it as uncharacterized. Lineage: Eukaryota; Metazoa; Chordata; Actinopteri; Perciformes; Percidae. The record is from RefSeq and is a predicted model, not a curated record. The transcript has 3 exons.